RNAcentral lists this ribosomal RNA (403 nucleotides) under bacterium. RNAcentral's name for it is "partial 16S ribosomal RNA". It matches the Rfam family "Bacterial small subunit ribosomal RNA", at positions 355 to 776 of the family's 1533-position model. The record is from RNAcentral.
UGGGGAAUAUUGCACAAUGGGGGAAACCCUGAUGCAGCGACGCCGCGUGAACGAAGAAGGUAUUCGUAUCGUAAAGUUCUGUUCUAUGGGAAGAUAAUGACAGUACCAUAGAAGAAAGCUCCGGCUAAAUACGUGCCAGCAGCCGCGGUAAUACGUAUGGAGCGAGCGUUGUCCGGAAUUAUUGGGCGUAAAGGGUACGCAGGCGGUUUAAUAAGUCGAAUGUUAAAGAUCGGGGCUCAACCCCGCAAAGCAUUGGAAACUGAUAAACUUGAGUAGUGGAGAGGAAAGUGGAAUUCCUAGUGUAGUGGUGAAAUACGUAGAUAUUAGGAGGAAUACCAGUAGCGAAGGCGACUUUCUGGACACAAACUGACGCUGAGGUACGAAAGCGUGGGGAGCAAACAGG